This 478-nucleotide ribosomal RNA is filed under the name uncultured bacterium. Its description in RNAcentral is "partial 16S ribosomal RNA". It matches the Rfam family "Bacterial small subunit ribosomal RNA", at positions 28 to 507 of the family's 1533-position model. The record is from RNAcentral.
GGUGAACGCUGGCGGCGUGCUUAACACAUGCAAGUCGAACGGGAAUUAUUUUAUUGAAACUUCGGUCGAUUUAAUUUAAUUCUAGUGGCGGACGGGUGAGUAACGCGUGGGUAACCUGCCUUAUACAGGGGGAUAACAGUCAGAAAUGGCUGCUAAUACCGCAUAAGCGCACAGAGCUGCAUGGCUCAGUGUGAAAAACUCCGGUGGUAUAAGAUGGACCCGCGUUGGAUUAGCUGGUUGGUGGGGUAACGGCCCACCAAGGCGACGAUCCAUAGCCGGCCUGAGAGGGUGAACGGCCACAUUGGGACUGAGACACGGCCCAGACUCCUACGGGAGGCAGCAGUGGGGAAUAUUGCACAAUGGGGGAAACCCUGAUGCAGCGACGCCGCGUGAAGGAAGAAGUAUCUCGGUAUGUAAACUUCUAUCAGCAGGGAAGAUAGUGACGGUACCUGACUAAGAAGCCCCGGCUAACUACGUG